ACUACCGAUUGAAUGGUUUAGUGAGGCCUUCUGAUUGGCGCCGCCGCCCCGGCAACGGAGUAGCGGAUGCCGAGAAGUUGGUCAAACUUGAUCAUUUAGAGGAAGUAAAAGUCGUAACAAGG
Molecule: ribosomal RNA, 122 nt
Filed under: Telopathes magnus
Lineage: Eukaryota; Metazoa; Cnidaria; Anthozoa; Antipatharia; Schizopathidae
Description: partial 18S ribosomal RNA
Rfam family: Eukaryotic small subunit ribosomal RNA
Source: RNAcentral